GAUGAACGCUAGCUACAGGCUUAACACAUGCAAGUCGAGGGGCAGCAUGGUCUUAGCUUGCUAAGGCCGAUGGCGACCGGCGCACGGGUGAGUAACACGUAUCCAACCUGCCGUCUACUCUUGGACAGCCUUCUGAAAGGAAGAUUAAUACAAGAUGGCAUCAUGAGUCCGCAUGUUCACAUGAUUAAAGGUAUUCCGGUAGACGAUGGGGAUGCGUUCCAUUAGAUAGUAGGCGGGGUAACGGCCCACCUAGUCUUCGAUGGAUAGGGGUUCUGAGAGGAAGGUCCCCCACAUUGGAACUGAGACACGGUCCAAACUCCUACGGGAGACAGCAGUGAGGAAUAUUGGUCAAUGGGCGAGAGCCUGAACCAGCCAAGUAGCGUGAAGGAUGACUGCCCUAUGGGUUGUAAACUUCUUUUAUAAAGGAAUAAAGUCGGGUAGGGAUACCCGUUUGCAUGUACUUUAUGAAUAAGGAUCGGCUAACUCCGUG
Molecule: ribosomal RNA, 490 nt
Filed under: uncultured bacterium
Lineage: Bacteria
Description: partial 16S ribosomal RNA
Rfam family: Bacterial small subunit ribosomal RNA
Source: RNAcentral